This 226-nucleotide ribosomal RNA is filed under the name uncultured bacterium. RNAcentral describes it as "partial 16S ribosomal RNA". It matches the Rfam family "Bacterial small subunit ribosomal RNA", at positions 91 to 334 of the family's 1533-position model. The record is from RNAcentral.
ACCCGUGGCGAACGGCUGCGUAACACGUUGGUACAUACCCCGAACUCAGGGAUACCCCCGCGAAAGCGGGACUAAUACCGGAUGCCCUCGCAAGAGGAAAGAUUUAUCGGUUCGGGAAUGGCCUGCGGCCUAUCAGAUAGUUGGUGAGGUAACGGCUCACCAAGUCUAUGACGGGUAGCUGAUUUGAGAGAAUGAUCAGCCAGAAUGGGACUGAGACACGGCCCAU